Long non-coding RNA from Numida meleagris (helmeted guineafowl), 2541 nucleotides. RefSeq lists it as uncharacterized. Lineage: Eukaryota; Metazoa; Chordata; Aves; Galliformes; Numididae. The transcript has 3 exons. The record is from RefSeq and is a predicted model, not a curated record.
UUGGUAGCUGAGGGGCUGCAGGGGUGACCUCUGUGAGUGGAGCAAGCAACCAUGCGAGGCAAGAGCAAGAUCUAGCCAAUACCAAAAGGGACUUGCCGCUGCCAGAGCUGAGCCAUGAGUGGGUGUGCCUCUGGAAGGGCAGAUUUAAGAAAGGGAAAAACUGCUGCACCAGUGCAGGAGGAGCUCCAUGCCCGGAGCAGCAGCUUCCUGCAGCCCAGGAGAGGUCCAUAGAAGAGGAGCAGGCUGUCCGCUGCAGCCGCGGAGCAGAUCUCCACAUGCAGACAAGGAGGAACCCGCGGUGCAGCAGUGGGUGAGACUGAAGGAGGCACGGCCCAUGGAGAGCCCCUUGGGAGGAGCUGCAGCUUUGGAGAGCUGCCCGCGGUGGGGCAGGAAGGCUGGGGGAGCUGUCGCCCGUGCGGAGCCGUGGGGAGCAGUGCCGGACGGGUGGGCCCCGUGGGACAGAGCCGUGAUCGAGCAGUGCUCAGAGGGCUGCAACCUGUGGGAAGCACACACGUGAUCAGUUUAGAAAGGACGGCAUCCCGUGAGAGAGACCCAGGGGAGCAGAACAUGCCUAGAUUAUUCUUCCUUCUCCUGGACAGAUCCAGAAAGCAAGCAGACAAUCCAAGGGUAUGACUCUACAGAAAACUCUUAUUGUUAAAUUGUAUUCAGGGAUCACCUGCCUUUGCUUCCCAUGAUACCUCCCAAGGCAGCAAUAACUGUAUUGCUCUGAAGGAGACCAUUACCAACAAUGGUUGCAACUCCGGUAUGGGCGAGAAAUGGAAUUUCAUUAUAACUACAUUCAAAGGCAUUAUUAUUGUCUUAGAGGAAUGCAGGUCUACCUUCCACUACAGGAAGCUGUACUGUCUCCUCUUGAAGUCUGGCAGUGCAAAAGCGUGAAGAUUAACUCCAAUCACCUUCCACAGGCAGGUGUGAAUUCUCAACCAGUGUCUCCAUCUAGAUUUCUCAGUUCACCCCACCCCUAGUUCUGCAGGGCUAUCACACACUCUUUCAAUAUAUGAACUUACCACUGGCUACCAGGCUUCUCUCCACACUCCCUUGUUGUACAUUCCCAAAAAAGUCAAUUAUGAGUUCUUUAAGGACCCAUAAAUAUCAAAAGGAUUUGGUGGGAGUCAUAUUCCCAGAAUUUUCUAGAGUUAGGUAAGGGCUGGGAGUAAUGCCCUGGCCCAGAUUGCUGUGGAAGCAGCAACCUAGCCUGCAGAGAUUUAAAAAGAAAUUACCCAAUUAAGAUGUAAUGGCCCUCCAGCCUUCCCAGGCUGUGAAUGAGUGCAGGCAUAUUUACAAUCACAGAGAAUCAUAAAACUCUAUCCAGUUAUAUCAAAUCAGCAGGGCUAAAUUAGCAGCAACAUCCUGAUUAGGUGCUGUGCCUGUGUGUGUGUGUGCGUGUGUGUGCAGGAUGAUUUAUGAUGAGAUCUGCUGAACCCAUCAAAAGAGAUUUUAAAAUGACCUUCCAGGGAAAAAAAAGGGGGGAAGAGAGGGAUAUGGAGGUUUCAGGUAGACAAUUGUACUGCCUCGCUGUGAAAGAUCAUAGUGAAUAGAGGGGAAGAAAGAUUACAUUUGUCAGUGUGUUUGUAUGAUGAAUACUUACCCACUUUCACACAUUCCCUCCCCCUUGGCAGGCAAAAAGGAGGCAAAGUUCAUUUUCCAUUGGGGAGUUUUGUUAUGGUAGGGUUCCUUGUCACUAUUUAAUUAUCCUAAUAGAGAGAUGUCCCUUUUUUUAAGUGAAUCUUACUUACACUCAUGAAUACUGAGGGACUGCACAAGCACAGCAAAGUGGAAUCCUGUUUAUCCAAAGGUCAGAGAUGAUUGCAGGCAGGUGGUCCAAUUACCCUAGAGAAAAAAAAAAAAACUUUCUCCCUCCAUCCUUUUCCAUUCUCUACAGCUAGGCCAGGAAAAAAUGAUAAAUAAAAAUCUAACCUAGAGCUGCAUAAAGGAGGCUGUCAGCCUUUUUGCUUCUGGAGAGAGCAGCAGUACAGUUUGGUACAAGGAUAGUGUGCUCAUGAAUCCAAAACAUAAAUCACUGCCUUUAUAAUAGGGCCAUGAAGGCAGGGAUGAAGCUUCUUUCAGCUAAGAGAGCAACAAGCAACAACAACUCAAAGGUGCGGGAGAUUAGACGAGGCUUUUAUUUGUCACUGUGCCUCUGCUCUUUCUGCUUCUCCAACCAUUCACAGCAUUUCUUUCCCCAAUAUGUGCCCUACCUCCCAAACUCCUGGCCACCCUGAAAUUUCUCAGCUGACCGCCUGAGCCCACAAGGUGUGACACGUUCCAGAAAGGACUCUCCAUGCUUGUCAGUUCCUCCUGGUGCCGUAAUCCUGCAAAGGAAAUAUUUUUACAGGGCAGUAAUGCGUGGCAGCCUUCAAGUUCACUAAAAUAUGGAUGAGGGAUGGUUUCAGUGAUUGAGCACAAAAUGAAAAAGCUCUUAUACCAGCUCCCUCAAAGAGAGAAGAUUGUCAUCUAGGCCAUCAUUACAGCAGUGUUUAAAAAAAAAAAAAAGUAUACAUGGCAGUAUUUACACCAAAUACA